ACGGAAGGCAGCAGUGGGGAAUAUUGGGCAAUGGGCGAAAGCCUGACCCAGCAACGCCGCGUGAAGGAAGAAGGUCUUCGGAUUGUAAACUUCUUUUAUGUAGGACGAAGAAAGUGACGGUACUACAUGAAUAAGCCACGGCUAACUACGUGCCAGCAGCCGCGGUAAUACGUAGGUGGCAAGCGUUAUCCGGAUUUACUGGGUGUAAAGGGCGCGUAGGCGGGGAAGCAAGUCAGAUGUGAAAUCUAUGGGCUUAACUCAUAAACUGCAUUUGAAACUGUUUCUCUUGAGUGCUGGAGAGGUAGAUGGAAUUCCUAGUGUAGCGGUGAAAUGCGUAGAUAUUAGGAAGAACACCAGUGGCGAAGGCGAUCUACUGGACAGUAACUGACGCUGAGGCGCGAAAGCGUGGGGAGCAAACAGGAUUAGAUACCCUGGUA
The sequence is a ribosomal RNA, 437 nucleotides long. It matches the Rfam family "Bacterial small subunit ribosomal RNA", at positions 341 to 792 of the family's 1533-position model.